GCUCAUGACGGUACCUGAAGAAUAAGCACCGGCUAACUACGUGCCAGCAGCCGCGGUAAUACGUAGGGUGCAAGCGUUAAUCGGAAUUACUGGGCGUAAAGCGUGCGCAGGCGGUUUUGUAAGACUGUCGUGAAAUCCCCGGGCUCAACCUGGGAAUGGCGAUGGUGACUGCAAGGCUAGAGUUUGGCAGAGGGGGGUAGAAUUCCACGUGUAGCAGUGAAAUGCGUAGAUAUGUGGAGGAACACCGAUGGCGAAGGCAGCCCCCUGGGUCAAAACUGACGCUCAUGCACGAAAGCGUGGGGAGCAAACAGGAUUAGAUACCCUGGUAGUCCACGCCCUAAACGAUGUCUACUAGUUGUCGGGUCUUAAUUGACUUGGUAACGCAGCUAACGCGUGAAGUAGACCGCCUGGGGAGUACGGUCGCAAGAUUAAAACUCAAAGGAAUUGACGGGGACCCGCACAAGCGGUGG
RNAcentral lists this ribosomal RNA (470 nucleotides) under Duganella sp. Its description in RNAcentral is "bacterial SSU rRNA". It matches the Rfam family "Bacterial small subunit ribosomal RNA", at positions 465 to 935 of the family's 1533-position model. Lineage: Bacteria; Pseudomonadati; Pseudomonadota; Betaproteobacteria; Burkholderiales; Oxalobacteraceae. The record is from RNAcentral.